GGUGUGUUGGCUCAGUCACUAGAGCGUCCGCCUCACAACCGGGAGGGCGUGGGUUCGAACCCCGACCGCGUCA
This is a non-coding RNA of Strongylocentrotus purpuratus (purple sea urchin), 73 nucleotides long. The record is from Rfam. NCBI's taxonomy places the organism in Eukaryota, Metazoa, Echinodermata, Echinoidea, Camarodonta, Strongylocentrotidae.